CUGCGGCUAUGGGUAUCUGUCUUUUGCAAUCAUCAUUUAGAUUUAGUUCUUAGAGACAGUCUCUAUCAUUUGUAUGUUGAUGUAUAUGUGAACUUAAUUAAGCAAUCAGUGAAUGUCAUUGGAUCUGAGAGAUCUAAAAUUGAGAUAAAAUUUAAAGUAUAUGUGGAACCAUAGCUAAGUCAUAUUGGAGAAAAAAUGAUUAAUAAACUGAAAAAUAUGGGUUUGGACUCAUUGAC
RNAcentral lists this long non-coding RNA (236 nucleotides) under Elaeis guineensis (African oil palm). RNAcentral's name for it is "long non-coding RNA (EGUI_LNC038596)". Lineage: Eukaryota; Viridiplantae; Streptophyta; Magnoliopsida; Arecales; Arecaceae. The record is from RNAcentral.